Molecule: unclassified non-coding RNA, 254 nt
Filed under: uncultured fungus
Lineage: Eukaryota; Fungi
Description: sequence contains ITS1, 5.8S rRNA gene
Rfam family: 5.8S ribosomal RNA (bases 206-254)
Source: RNAcentral
UUUCCGUAGGUGAACCUGCGGAAGGAUCAUUACAGAGUAUCGUGCCCUAACGGGUAGAUCUCCCACCCUUGUGUAUUUAUACCAUGUUGCUUUGGCGAGCCGCGCAGCUUCGGCUAUGCCUUGGGCUUUCGAGCCUAGGUGUGCUCGCCGGAGGAAACUUAAACUCUGAUUAUUUUUGUCGUCUGAGUACUAUAUCAAUAGUUAAAACUUUCAACAACGGAUCUCUUGGUUCUGGCAUCGAUGAAGAACGCAGC